GCAAGGAAUAUUGCACAAUGGGCGAAAGCCUGAUGCAGCGACGCCGCGUGAGGGAAGAAGGCCUUCGGGUCGUAAACCUCUUUUCUUGGGGAAGAAUAAUGACGGUACCCAGGGAAUAAGUCACGGCAAACUACGUGCCAGCAGCCGCGGUAAUACGUAGGCGGCGAGCAUUAUCCGGAUUUACUGGGCGUAAAGCGGGUGUAGGUGGUUUUUCAAGUCGGAUGUGAAAUUUCCCGGCUCAACUGGGAAGGGUCAUUCGAUACUGUUAGACUUGAGGGCAGCAGAGGGAGAUGGAAUUCCCGGUGUAGUGGUGAAAUGCGUAGAUAUCGGGAGGAACACCAGUGGCGAAAGCGGUCUCCUGGGCUGUUCCUGACACUGAGGCCCAAAAGCGUGGGGAGCAAACAGGAUUAGAAACCCUUGUAGUCC
Molecule: ribosomal RNA, 426 nt
Filed under: uncultured bacterium
Lineage: Bacteria
Description: bacterial SSU rRNA
Rfam family: Bacterial small subunit ribosomal RNA
Source: RNAcentral